RNAcentral lists this ribosomal RNA (492 nucleotides) under uncultured bacterium. RNAcentral's name for it is "partial 16S ribosomal RNA". It matches the Rfam family "Bacterial small subunit ribosomal RNA", at positions 29 to 507 of the family's 1533-position model. The record is from RNAcentral.
AGUGAACGCUGGCGGUAGGCCUAACGCAUGCAAGUCGAACGGCAGCACAGUAAGAGCUUGCUCUUACGGGUGGCGAGUGGCGGACGGGUGAGGAAUACAUCGGAAUCUACUUUUUCGUGGGGGAUAACGUAGGGAAACUUACGCUAAUACCGCAUACGACCUACGGGUGAAAGCAGGGGAUCUUCGGACCUUGCGCGAUUGAAUGAGCCGAUGUCGGAUUAGCUAGUUGGCGGGGUAAAGGCCCACCAAGGCGACGAUCCGUAGCUGAUCUGAGAGGAUGAUCAGCCACACUGGAACUGAGACACGGUCCAGACUCCUACGGGAGGCAGCAGUGGGGAAUAUUGGACAAUGGGCGCAAGCCUGAUCCAGCCAUACCGCGUGGGUGAAGAAGGCCUUCGGGUUGUAAAGCCCUUUUGUUGGGAAAGAAAAGCAGCAGGUUAAUACCCCGCUGUUCUGACGGUACCCAAAGAAUAAGCACCGGCUAACUUCGUG